GUGUUUUUCUAGUUUGUUGAAAAGUUGGAAACAUUUCAAACACGCAUUGGACUUUCAUGCAUUUAGACACUAGAAAUGGACAUUAAAUAACAAUUUUAAUGGGGAAAUUUAAGCAGCAUACCCAGUACGGCUUGUUGAGUUGGUUAUGCUGCUAGUAGGUUUAAAAAGCUGUUCCCUUAGUUCUGGGUCAGACAAUUUUUUGGUGGUUUGACCAAUUUCAGGGUUCCUGAUCGCCUUGUCACCAAGCUUAAGUUCACCAUAGUGCUAAUGGGAAAGUGCCACUUCUGCAUUAGCACUAUCAAUUUUGUUUUUCUUUGAUUUUCAUUGAUAUACUAAGCACAUCAGUUGAUGUUUCAGUAUAUUGCUGGCAUCCAAAUAUGGAUUCAAUUAAUAUUGUUAAGUGGCACUUAUACAUUAG
Pelobates cultripes (western spadefoot toad) is the source of this 418-nucleotide non-coding RNA. NCBI's taxonomy places the organism in Eukaryota, Metazoa, Chordata, Amphibia, Anura, Pelobatidae. The record is from the annotation of a GenBank genome assembly.